UACGGGGGGGGCAAGCGUUGUUCGGAAUUACUGGGCGUAAAGGGCUCGUAGGUGGCCUUCUAAGUUGAACGUGAAAGCCCCGGGCUUAACCUGGGAAUUGCGCUUGGGACUGGAGGGCUUGAGUACGGGAGAGGAGAGUGGAAUUCCCAGUGUAGAGGUGAAAUUCGUAGAUAUUGGGAAGAACACCGGUGGCGAAGGCGGCUCUCUGGACCGUAACUGACGCUGAGGCGCGAAAGCGUGGGGAGCAAACAGG
This 253-nucleotide ribosomal RNA is filed under the name uncultured bacterium. RNAcentral describes it as "partial 16S ribosomal RNA". It matches the Rfam family "Bacterial small subunit ribosomal RNA", at positions 524 to 776 of the family's 1533-position model. The record is from RNAcentral.